GUAAAAUGGCUUUGCACGUCCUACUGGGUACCUAUACUCAAAGAAAUAUCAAAAACAUGACGUUCUCCGGUUGUUUUUACAGUCAAAACAAAUCUUUUUCAUUGAGAAAAUAAUUUCAUUAAAUCUUCUAAAAUUUUAUGUUAAUUUCGAGAAUUUUUCAAAGUAAAUUUUCGUGGAAAAUGUCGGAAAAUCUCGUUCAGUACAUUAUUGUUCGAAAGGAUAUUCUAAAGGAGCGCGGGCUGUACUUUAUUAUGGCAGAAUCUUGUCUUGCCUGCUCAUCAAUUCACCUCAAUUCCCACGAAGAUCCUGCAACGCAGAAAUAUUUUAGCGACAUCGACAACAUGCACAAAGUCGUCCUGGGUGUGGACAAUGAGACACAAUUGGAGAAAUUGGUGAAGGAUCUGCAAAGUAAGGACAUUGUCUUUGAGCUCAGAAGGAGUGAAGAGAACAUCCCAACAUGUUUAGCUGUUAAAGUGUACGAGAAGAGUCAAAUUGCUCCUUUAGUGAAGAAAUUAAAACUCCUUCGGUGAUGAAGAGAUUCCAGGAAUUCAAACAGUGGCACAGUACAGAAUAUCAGUCAUCUUUGAGAAUUCUUGCUGCAGGAAUUUCACCUGAUUCUUCAACGCCUCAUUUUCAGCCCUCAAUCUUGCAUUCUCCACCAGCAAAUCCUGAAAAUUUAUCAUAAAAUUGAAAGAGAUGAAAUAAAUCGAAAGGAAUCAACGUA
Lutzomyia longipalpis is the source of this 724-nucleotide long non-coding RNA. RefSeq lists it as uncharacterized. The record is from RefSeq and is a predicted model, not a curated record. The transcript is spliced from 2 exons. NCBI's taxonomy places the organism in Eukaryota, Metazoa, Arthropoda, Insecta, Diptera, Psychodidae.